Molecule: non-coding RNA, 210 nt
Organism: Pelobates cultripes (western spadefoot toad)
Lineage: Eukaryota; Metazoa; Chordata; Amphibia; Anura; Pelobatidae
Source: the annotation of a GenBank genome assembly
CUAACACCUCCAAAUCUCCAUUCCCAUACCUAAGCCUUUUAAAAUAAUAAUAAAAAUUUCUGCAAACUGUGGAAGCAGACACCUAGCAUCGAAGAUAGAACACAAAAUGUUGCAAAAGAACAGAAAAGAUUGUAAGAAACAGGAAGUCAACUAAGGCAACCACAACAAAUAUCUACAUCAGACCACAACACAGAGCCUCUCUGAGCUGAU